Onychomys torridus (southern grasshopper mouse) is the source of this 438-nucleotide long non-coding RNA. RefSeq lists it as uncharacterized. The record is from RefSeq and is a predicted model, not a curated record. Lineage: Eukaryota; Metazoa; Chordata; Mammalia; Rodentia; Cricetidae. The transcript has 3 exons.
CCUCUAACUUUCCAUUACAGAAAAGUGAGAAACAAUUUUCAUACAGUAGUAACAUCUGUACCUUGAAAAAGAUGAAGACUGAAAUAAACCUAUCUUCUCUGGGAAAGAAUAACAAUGAAAUCCAGCGUUGAAAGAUCAUGACAUCUCACUUUUCAGACCUACUAUCUUAUCUAUGGAACGGACUUCUCUUGUUGAGGUCCCAUGUGACACUCCAGAAUCUACACAGGAUAGCAACAAAAUGUUUGAUUCUCUAAAUACAGCUGACCACACCAGCUAUACAAUGAACACCUCUAUUAAAUCUCUUCCUCCUCUGGUAGAAGACCUGCCGGUGCUCCUGAUAACAUCAGUAAUGUGGUUCCUCGAACUAUUAGUAUCAGUUAUGACAAGGAUAAGAAACUUGAUCAAUUGAGUAUUCUGCAGACGAAAUCAUUCAAGAGA